AGCGAACGCUGGCGGCAGGCUUAACACAUGCAAGUCGAAGGUGAAGCCGGACUUCGGUCCGGUGGAAACUGGCGCACGGGUGAGUAACGCGUGGGGAUAUGCCCAAGGGUACGGAAUAACCGCUGGAAACGGCGGCUAAUACCGUAUGUUCCCUCAGGGGGAAAGCUUCGGCGCCCUUGGAUUAUCCCGCGUCCGAUUAGCUUGUUGGUGAGGUAACGGCUCACCAAGGCUCCGAUCGGUAGCUGGUCUGAGAGGACGAUCAGCCACACUGGGACUGAGACACGGCCCAGACUCCUACGGGAGGCAGCAGUGGGGAAUAUUGGACAAUGGGGGCAACCCUGAUCCAGCCAUGCCGCGUGAGUGAAGAAGGCCCUAGGGUUGUAAAGCUCUUUCAGCGGGGAAGAUGAUGACGGUACCCGCAGAAGAAGCCCCGGCUAACUCCGUG
Molecule: ribosomal RNA, 445 nt
Filed under: uncultured bacterium
Lineage: Bacteria
Description: bacterial SSU rRNA
Rfam family: Bacterial small subunit ribosomal RNA
Source: RNAcentral